Molecule: unclassified non-coding RNA, 144 nt
Filed under: uncultured Lecythophora
Lineage: Eukaryota; Fungi; Ascomycota; Sordariomycetes; Coniochaetales
Description: sequence contains ITS2
Source: RNAcentral
CAACCCUCAAGCACUGCUUGGUGUUGGGCGGUACCGCGCGCGGUACGCCUCAAACGUAGUGGCGGCGCCGUUCGGCUCCUAGCGUAGUAACUACUCUCGCUAUGGGGACCGGGCGCGUGCCCGCCAGCAACUCACACUUCCAAA